This 384-nucleotide unclassified non-coding RNA is filed under the name uncultured fungus. RNAcentral's name for it is "partial contains small subunit ribosomal RNA, internal transcribed spacer 1, and 5.8S ribosomal RNA". The stretch from base 1 to 73 matches the Rfam family "Eukaryotic small subunit ribosomal RNA", at positions 1759 to 1831 of the family's 1831-position model. Lineage: Eukaryota; Fungi. The record is from RNAcentral.
UCAAACUUGGUCAUUUAGAGGAAGUAAAAGUCGUAACAAGGUUUCCGUAGGUGAACCUGCGGAAGGAUCAUUAAUGAAUUACUUGGGUGUUGAUGCUGGUCUACGCAAGUAGGCAUUGUGCUCGCAUCCAUCUAUUCUAUCUAUCUCUUGUGCACCAACGAUAGCUUUGCUGGUUUCGGAGCUUGAGCAGAUCUGCACUUGCUCUGUUGAACAGUGGAGACCAUGAGCGGGAAACCGCACUGUCUCUGGUUCGCCUUCAGCAAAGCUAUACUUUAUAUACCCUUAGUAUGUUUUAGAAUGUCCCUUUAUUGACCUUUUGGUCGGUAAAUCUAUACAACUUUCAGCAACGGAUCUCUUGGCUCUCCCAUCGAUGAAGAACGCAGC